AAAGAAUCUGAAUGCCCCCCAUACCAUCUCUGUACUUAAAAUUGUAGGAAACCUACAUGCUCAGUAACACAGACGACAAGACUGCAAGACUCACAGUCGUUAUACACUGUACAUCUUACAUCAAAUACUAUCUUGCGCGUGUUAUUUCUUAGGCACAACAUAAUUCCACAUGAGCCUCAGUCUGAGAAGACGUGCUAAUUUGCCCUAUUCUAUUUUUUCACAGGCCAUCACACCAACCUUGGAAUAUAGUUGGAUAGCAAAGUUAUGCAAAGAGUCCCUGAGUACUACAAGAGCUGGUCUACACACAGAGUGUGGUCCUCUGACUUUUCAUGGGGCAUGCUUGUCUGACAGUCUAUGGAGCAUAUACUUCUGGCCUGUCCUUGGAGCGUGCUCGUCUGACUCACCAUGGAGCAUGCUCAUCUGACUCACCAUUGAGCAUGCUCCCCCACCUAUGCAUAGAAUGUGCUCUUGAGAACUUGCAUCUAUCUGCACACAGAGAAACAGAUGUGCUUUCAUUUUCCUAAGCAAAAUAACAGGAAGUAUCAUCAUUCUUGAGGUCACAGUAUUCAUAACAGGAAUGUGUGGAUAGUCACGUGAGAUCUAUUGGGAAGCAUGGUGUCUGGUUCAGUCCCUAUCUUGAGGGAGAUAAAAUAAUCUCAGUUCUCAAAUGGUGUCAGUCACCGUAAGGACCCAAUCCAAGAGGACUAAACACUUCUGUAGUCCCUUAUCAUCUGAGCUUGAAAGGGGCCUCUGCCUCUUCAGCCAGCUGGGCAGCUCACAGAAAUUCUAUCCUUGCAAACGGAGAUAUAGGUACCAGAGAAGCAGCUCUUCCCUCUGAUUAGUGGAACAGCUAUGACAGAAAUUGCCUUUUCCCAAAGACACAAAGUGACAUAUUAAAGGAGAAGCCUCUCUUUUGGUGCCAUGGAGUCAUUUAAAAAUAAAUGUAGAAACUCCAAAGAAUGUCUGUUUAAGCACAGCUGUAAUUCAGGGACACAAGACCAUUCACUUCAGCCAUCUCUCUGCCGGAUUCACUUCUUGAUCCUCAGAUUAUGUAGGAAUCAAAUCCAGUACUAUCUUUACUUUCAAAGUCAGUUUGCCUGUUUUGCUGGUGACUACAUGGCAUUUGACAGGCUCAGAAUAAGACAACAUUUCUUCUCCCAAAACAUACUGAAGGUGUCUAAUUGGAUCACAAGAGAGAUAUGGGAAGACAUUCCACCUUGGUAAGUAAACGUGGGGUAUGUGCUGAGCAAGAGGCUUCUAAAUCAAGUUGUUGUCCAGGAAAGCAUUCUGAAGACUAUUGCUUCAUGCCUUGAGGGAUACAAAGGGUCAUUUGUAGACUGGUGGAAAAAUUUGCCCACCACAGGGAACGGGACUAGUGUUGUUCUACAUCAUGAAAUGUAGGAGGUGGCAUUUGACAGCUGGUAGCAUAGCCAGAGGUGAAUAUAACCUAAGUUACGUUGGAAAGUAAAAAUGCCAUUGAGUCAGUACAAUUUGCAGUUGAAGGUAGAAGUCUAGAGUCAAGACAAAACUGGGUUUAAAGAUAAACUUUGACAUACACCAGUCACGUGACAGUAAUCACUUAAAAAACAAACAAACAAACAAACAAACCAAAAAAAAAAAAAAAAAAACCAAACACUCUUCAAGUUUAGUUUCCUUAGCACAGUGUUCUCCUGAUUUGGUUAUCUAUUUAUGUCCAGCAACUCCUCUCAAAUGAAAUGCCUUAAGACAACACAUAUUUAGUAAUUCUCAGGGUCAUUAUGAAUUAAGAAUGUGUUAUGGCUUAAAUGAGGCCCUUGCUUCAAGGGUCUAUCACAUGGCUGCAACCAAAGUCAACCAUGGUUGUGGUGCUAUCUCAAGACUCCAGAAGCUCAUUUACAGGUCUCUUGGCAGAGUUUGAUUCUUGCUGGCUGGUGACCAGAGACUCUCUGGAGUUCUUUACUAUGUGUUGCCCUCCUAAGGCAGUAUAUAGCUUCCUCAGAACCAGUGGAGAUAUGGUGUUGACUGGCAAGACAGAAAGGCCAUUGAAGUGAAUUCUGAUCACUAUGGCCCCAUUCUGUUGGUCAGAAUUCACAAGCUAGCCUACCCUUCUCAGGUUGGCAGGGGUGGGUUGUUGGAGAGUAGGAGUGCAUGGGAG
This 2134-nucleotide long non-coding RNA is filed under the name Rattus norvegicus (Norway rat). RNAcentral's name for it is "long non-coding RNA NONRATT031843". The record is from RNAcentral. Lineage: Eukaryota; Metazoa; Chordata; Mammalia; Rodentia; Muridae.